UCCAGAAGAUGCUCAGAGUAGUAUGCAGUAAACACUUGUGGAUUGGAGAUGUGCCGCCUUCCAACAAGAAAUCCCUCUGCUGGGAGAAAUGUCAAAUCUGAUGUGUCUGAGAGGAAUGAACAAUAGAACUGCUGGCUGGUUCGGCUGAAAGCUGCGGUCUCAGGACCAGGGCUGCUUGUACAGUUUAAUAGGCUAAAAGAGCCUGACACUGCCCUGGGGUAGAGAGACUGGGGAGAAAGAGGGGAGAAAACCAAAGGUGAAGGUAAUGACCUUAUAAAAGAAAAUCCAAGAGUUAGCAUGGACACAUAUUAAUCAAUCAAUCAAUUAAUCAAACCUGUUUAAGAAUGUACUCUGUGCUUAGCAGAGUGCUGGCCAGUGAAGACAUAAAGUCUCUGUUCCCCAGGAACCUGGUCCAGGACCAGAUUCCAAAAUGCUUGCAAAUGGUUUGGUUUGGCAUGGUCAGAUCUUGUCUUCAAUAAAAUGAUGAAGUUUGA
Molecule: long non-coding RNA, 494 nt
Organism: Hyaena hyaena (striped hyena)
Lineage: Eukaryota; Metazoa; Chordata; Mammalia; Carnivora; Hyaenidae
Exons: 2
Source: RefSeq, a predicted model, not a curated record